CAAUAUCUGGAUUCUUACAAUAAAUAGUGAUGUCAUUUUCGUGCCAUUGAAUUGUCACAUUUUCAGGAGGAUUUAUGAUGAAAGCUGAGAACAAAGAGAAAUGAUAAAAUGUUAUUUAUUAUUUCACUUGUAGGAGCAACUUAACAUGUUUGUGGUUAGAACUAAAAUAUACAGGGUUAUUAAAGAGAGAACUCAAGCUCAAUUCAAAC
Pelobates cultripes (western spadefoot toad) is the source of this 209-nucleotide non-coding RNA. The record is from the annotation of a GenBank genome assembly. NCBI's taxonomy places the organism in Eukaryota, Metazoa, Chordata, Amphibia, Anura, Pelobatidae.